CAGCCGCCGCGGUAAUACGAAGGGUGCAAGCGUUAAUCGGAAUUACUGGGCGUAAAGCGUGCGUAGGCGGUGAGUUAAGUCUGCUGUGAAAUCCCCGGGCUCAACCUGGGAAUGGCAGUGGAUACUGGCUCGCUAGAGUGUGUCAGAGGAUGGUGGAAUUCCCGGUGUAGCGGUGAAAUGCGUAGAGAUCGGGAGGAACAUCAGUGGCGAAGACGGCCAUCUGGGACAACACUGACGCUGAGGCACGAAAGCGUGGGGAGCAAACAGGAUUAGAUACCCCUGUAGUCCCUGUCUCUUAUAC
Molecule: ribosomal RNA, 301 nt
Filed under: uncultured bacterium
Lineage: Bacteria
Description: partial 16S ribosomal RNA
Rfam family: Bacterial small subunit ribosomal RNA
Source: RNAcentral